GGUGGGUCGGGGGCCGUGACAUAAACAUUUGUGCAUUCAUUUAUGAUCAACCCUCAUGUGUCAGAUUUUGAUUCUACAUGAGGGCAUGUUUCUAACACCAGUGAUUGUAGGAACCCCAGCUACAAGGAUGAAGAAGGUGGCGAGUAAUGUAGUGAAGAAACGAGUCUUUGAAUUGUUUGCACCUUUCAAUGGCAUAUGUAGUCUGCUGCUGCUUUAGCUGUUGAAUUAUGCAUAUGGAGUGUAGUUGCUGAUUUUUACAGAAGGUCGUCUGAGCCGUACAAUGAAUGUGGUAGGUCACAACCUACAUCUGAUGCGCUUUCAAAAGGUGCCUUGUAGUUGAGGAACAUUACUAUCUUUUUCUCUUAUAGAAUCUUUAUAAUAUUUAUGCGCCUAGCUAAGGAUCAAAUAUUAUUAUUUAGAGGGAAAGAAAAAGGCGACGAAUGAACGCCUAGAUAUGGCUGGUGUAAAGGACAUGUAAAAUUGAUAUUGUUGGAAGAUCCUGCUAGCAAAGAGAGAAAUCUUAUUGGCAAUAAAUAAGAAUGCUAAUGUACAAGCGUUUAAUGUAGUUAUGAAAGUGAGAAUCGAAGUGGGUAAAAAUCAAUGUAUUCAAGUUUGUUUGACAAGGGCAACAUUCGAUUCAGGAGUUGGGAGCCUAAGGAUGACUGGCAGAAGGAGAAAAUGGACUUUAUUCAAGGCGUGAGCCGCAUUUCGACAUUACCAAGGACCAAUGUAAAAGAGUCAAGCAAGCUUUAGAGCUAGAAGUUUAGGAUAAGUGUAAAUAUCUAGCUCUCAUGUUUUAAUAGGUUCGUCUAGCAUGGAGCUUAUGCAAGUAGCUGAUAAGGCAACCAUAGAUAAAAGGUUGAAGCUUAUGUUGAGGUUUUUAGGACUCUCAAUGAUGCUAGACAACAUGUUAGACAAAGAUGUUGAUUGAGUAUAUCAAGCCCUUACUUGAUUUUUGUGA
Helianthus annuus (common sunflower) is the source of this 961-nucleotide long non-coding RNA. RefSeq lists it as uncharacterized. The transcript has 3 exons. The record is from RefSeq and is a predicted model, not a curated record. NCBI's taxonomy places the organism in Eukaryota, Viridiplantae, Streptophyta, Magnoliopsida, Asterales, Asteraceae.